UCGAUGAAGAACGCAGCGAAAUGCGAUAAGUAAUGUGAAUUGCAGAAUUCAGUGAAUCAUCGAAUCUUUGAACGCACAUUGCGCCCGCUGGUAUUCCGGCGGGCAUGCCUGUUCGAGCGUCAUUAUAACCAAUCAAGCUCUGCUUGGCUUUGGGGCCCGCUGUACCGGCGGCCCUUAAAAUCAGUGGCAGUGCCGUCUGGCUCUAAGCGUAGUAAUACUUCUCGCUAUAGGGUUUAGUCGUCCACUCGUCAGAACCCCAAUUUUUAGGUUGACCUCGGAUCAGGUAGGGAUACCCGCUGAACUUAA
Molecule: ribosomal RNA, 306 nt
Filed under: uncultured Leotiomycetes
Lineage: Eukaryota; Fungi; Ascomycota; Leotiomycetes
Description: eukaryotic LSU rRNA
Rfam family: 5.8S ribosomal RNA (bases 1-122)
Source: RNAcentral